RNAcentral lists this ribosomal RNA (811 nucleotides) under uncultured Gammaproteobacteria bacterium. Its description in RNAcentral is "SSU rRNA". It matches the Rfam family "Bacterial small subunit ribosomal RNA", at positions 63 to 872 of the family's 1533-position model. The record is from RNAcentral. Lineage: Bacteria; Pseudomonadati; Pseudomonadota; Gammaproteobacteria.
CGAGCGAGAAAGCCCUUCGGGGUGAGUAGAGCGGCGGACGGGUGAGUAACGCGUAGGAAUCUACCCAGUAGUGGGGGAUAACUAGUGGAAACGCUAGCUAAUACCGCAUACGCCCUACGGGGGAAAGCGGGGGACCUUCGGGCCUCGUGCUAUUGGAUGAGCCUGCGUAAGAUUAGCUUGUUGGUGAGGUAAUGGCUCACCAAGGCGACGAUCUUUAGCUGGUCUGAGAGGAUGAUCAGCCACACCGGGACUGAGACACGGCCCGGACUCCUACGGGAGGCAGCAGUCGGGAAUAUUGCGCAAUGGGGGAAACCCUGACGCAGCCAUGCCGCGUGUGUGAAGAAGGCCCUAGGGUUGUAAAGCACUUUCAAUUGGGAGGAAAAGCUAAUGGUUAAUAACCAUUAGCCCUGACGUUACCUUUAGAAGAAGCACCGGCUAACUCCGUGCCAGCAGCCGCGGUAAUACGGAGGGUGCAAGCGUUAAUCGGAAUUACUGGGCGUAAAGCGCGCGUAGGCGGUUUUUUAAGUCGGAUGUGAAAGCCCCGGGCUCAACCUGGGAACUGCAUCCGAUACUGGAUGACUAGAAUGCGGGAGAGGGAGGUAGAAUUCCAUGUGUAGCAGUGAAAUGCGUAGAUAUAUGGAGGAAUACCAGUGGCGAAGGCGGCCUCCUGGCUCGACAUUGACGCUGAGGUGCGAAAGCGUGGGGAGCAAACGGGAUUAGAUACCCCGGUAGUCCACGCCGUAAACGAUGUCUACUAGCUGUAGGGGUACUUGAGACCUUUGUAGCGCAGCUAACGCAAUAANUAGACCGC